UUGAUCUUAUGUUUUAGGUUAGCAUUCUUUAAGGCUGCCUAUGCGUUGUUCGAUUCUGAUUUCUAUGUUAAAGCUGAUGAUGACAUUUACUUGAGACCAGUUUAGGGGUACAUAAAACAUACGGUGUACAAGUUGAGGGAACAAGAGCGCAAUUCAUACCAUAUGUUUUUUUGUAUUUGCGAACGCUCACCUGGGCAAUUAUACUGUGUAGCACU
Aegilops tauschii subsp. strangulata is the source of this 215-nucleotide non-coding RNA. The record is from RefSeq and is a predicted model, not a curated record. Lineage: Eukaryota; Viridiplantae; Streptophyta; Magnoliopsida; Poales; Poaceae.